Cucurbita maxima (winter squash) is the source of this 105-nucleotide small nuclear RNA. NCBI's taxonomy places the organism in Eukaryota, Viridiplantae, Streptophyta, Magnoliopsida, Cucurbitales, Cucurbitaceae. The record is from RefSeq and is a predicted model, not a curated record.
CUCCAAUCGAUGGAGACAUUCAAUAAAAUUGGAACGAUAGAGAGAAGAUUAACACGACCCCUAUGCAAAGAUGACAUGCACAAAUCAGAAAUAGUAUCAAAAUUA